This is a long non-coding RNA of Astyanax mexicanus (Mexican tetra), 394 nucleotides long. RefSeq lists it as uncharacterized. NCBI's taxonomy places the organism in Eukaryota, Metazoa, Chordata, Actinopteri, Characiformes, Acestrorhamphidae. The transcript is spliced from 4 exons. The record is from RefSeq and is a predicted model, not a curated record.
CGUGACUGCUACACACACACACACACACACACACACACACACACACACAGAGCUUCAGCAGCCCAGCAGAUCACUAUGGUUCCUCCUGUGCAGGUCUCCCCGCUUAUUAAGACCGCAAGAUGGUCAGCCCUGCUGGUGGGAAUCAUCUAUGGGAAGCAAAGAUAUGAUUACCUGAAGCCCAUUGCUGCGGAGGAGAGGCGCGUUGAAGAGGCUGAGAAGAAGCUGAGGGAGGAGCAAGAGAGGAUCUAUAAACAGCUGGCUGAGGCGAAUUCCGACAGUAUUCUGCAGUAAAUGACCCCUUCAGUCUCUUCAGUGACACCCUGCACUACUCCAAAGUGAAGUAUAAGCAUGUAAAUGUAUUAUUUUUAGUUUUCAAUAAAAACAUGGAAAAAUA